UACGUAGGGGGCAAGCGUUAUCCGGAUUUACUGGGUGUAAAGGGGCGCAGACGGCGAUGCAAGCCAGGAGUGAAAGCCCGGGGCCCAACCCCGGGACUGCUCUUGGAACUGCGUGGCUGGAGUGCAGGAGGGGCAGGCGGAAUUCCUGGUGUAGCGGUGAAAUGCGUAGAUAUCAGGAGGAACACCGGUGGCGAAGGCGGCCUGCUGGACUGCAACUGACGUUGAGGCCCGAAAGCGUGGGGAGCAAACAGG
This 252-nucleotide ribosomal RNA is filed under the name uncultured bacterium. Its description in RNAcentral is "partial 16S ribosomal RNA". It matches the Rfam family "Bacterial small subunit ribosomal RNA", at positions 524 to 776 of the family's 1533-position model. The record is from RNAcentral.